UAGGGAAUCUUCGGCAAUGGGGGGAACCCUGACCGAGCAACGCCGCGUGAGUGAAGAAGGUUUUCGGAUCGUAAAGCUCUGUUGUUAAGGAAGAACGAGAGUGAGAAUGGAAAGUUCAUGCUGUGACGGUACUUAACCAGAAAGGGACGGCUAACUACGUGCCAGCAGCCGCGGUAAUACGUAGGUCCCGAGCGUUGUCCGGAUGUAUUGGGCGUAAAGCGAGCGCAGGCGGUUAGAAAAGUCUGAAGUGAAAGGCAGUGGCUCAACCAUUGUAGGCUUUGGAAACUGUUUAACUUGAGUGCAGAAGAGGGGGGUGGAAUUCCAUGUGUAGCGGUGAAAUGCGUAGUUAUAUGGAGGAACAGCGGUGGCGAAAGCGGCUCUCUGGUCUGUAACUGACGCUGAGGCUCGAAAGCGUGGGGAGCGAACAGG
RNAcentral lists this ribosomal RNA (429 nucleotides) under Bacteroidota bacterium. Its description in RNAcentral is "Bacteroidetes bacterium partial 16S ribosomal RNA". It matches the Rfam family "Bacterial small subunit ribosomal RNA", at positions 355 to 776 of the family's 1533-position model. The record is from RNAcentral. Lineage: Bacteria; Pseudomonadati; Bacteroidota.